Molecule: small nuclear RNA, 108 nt
Organism: Cavia porcellus (domestic guinea pig)
Lineage: Eukaryota; Metazoa; Chordata; Mammalia; Rodentia; Caviidae
Source: Rfam
GUGUUCUCAUUUCAUUAGCACAUACACUAAAAUGGCAAUGGUACAGACAAGAUUAGCAUGGCCCUGUACAAGAAUGAUAUGCACAUUUAUGAAGUGUUCUAUUUUUUC